This 253-nucleotide ribosomal RNA is filed under the name uncultured bacterium. Its description in RNAcentral is "partial 16S ribosomal RNA". It matches the Rfam family "Bacterial small subunit ribosomal RNA", at positions 524 to 776 of the family's 1533-position model. The record is from RNAcentral.
UACGUAGGGUGCAAGCGUUGUCCGGAAUUAUUGGGCGUAAAGAGCUCGUAGGCGGUCUGUCGCGUCUGCUGUGAAAACUCAGGGCUUAACCCUGAGCUUGCAGUGGGUACGGGCAGACUAGAGUGCGGCAGGGGAGACUGGAAUUCCUGGUGUAGCGGUGAAAUGCGCAGAUAUCAGGAGGAACACCGGUGGCGAAGGCGGGUCUCUGGGCCGAUACUGACGCUGAGGAGCGAAAGCGUGGGGAGCGAACAGG